GUAGAAAUAAGUUAAUUAAAAACUGUGUGGUUCAUGCCCAAAUAAUGAAAAAAAUAUAUAAAUUUUCUUUCUAUA
RNAcentral lists this transfer RNA (75 nucleotides) under Diversibipalium multilineatum. RNAcentral describes it as "tRNA-Met". The record is from RNAcentral. Lineage: Eukaryota; Metazoa; Platyhelminthes; Tricladida; Geoplanidae.